ACCCCCUCACCCCCCUCCCAGGUGCGGCACUUGGAGGUGAGCAGCGCAUCCAUGGCGGAGGAUCUGUGCCGGAAGAGCGCCAUCAUUGAAAGCUUCGUCAGGGACAGCCGGCUGGAGGCUGCAGGACCCCCGUUGCCCCCCGGCGUGGGGCGGGGCCGGGGGAGGAGGGGCUGCGGGAGAUGAACAAAAAACUGCAGAACCUCCUGGAGGAGCAGCUGACCAAAAACCUGCACAUGAGCCAGGACCUGGAAAUGCUCUCCCAGGAGCUGGCGCGGCUCCGCCAUGAG
Meleagris gallopavo (turkey) is the source of this 287-nucleotide non-coding RNA. The record is from RefSeq and is a predicted model, not a curated record. Lineage: Eukaryota; Metazoa; Chordata; Aves; Galliformes; Phasianidae.